Small RNA from Rahnella aquatilis, 81 nucleotides. It matches the Rfam family "RybB RNA". From Rfam's summary of the family: This ncRNA was identified in a large scale screen of E. coli. The function of this short RNA is unknown. The exact 5' and 3' ends of this RNA are uncertain. NCBI's taxonomy places the organism in Bacteria, Pseudomonadati, Pseudomonadota, Gammaproteobacteria, Enterobacterales, Yersiniaceae. The record is from Rfam.
ACUGCUUUUCUUUGAAGUCCCCAAAUUUGGAGAGCCCGUCAAUCCCGCCUCGUUAGGUUCAAGAUUGCCGGGUUUUUUCUU